This 575-nucleotide ribosomal RNA is filed under the name Meloidogyne incognita (southern root-knot nematode). Its description in RNAcentral is "eukaryotic LSU rRNA". It matches the Rfam family "Eukaryotic large subunit ribosomal RNA", at positions 428 to 909 of the family's 3401-position model. The record is from RNAcentral. Lineage: Eukaryota; Metazoa; Nematoda; Chromadorea; Rhabditida; Meloidogynidae.
GACCUCUGAGCUCCAGAUUGGGACAGAGGGAAUCAGCAUAAUUUUUUGUGGUGCAUUUACUUGAUUGGUGCUUGGGGAUGUUUGAGGCAGAUUUGUUUCCGUCGUUUUGAGGCCAGCUUGCUGGUACCCAAACGGUGUUAGCAUUUUUUGUCUUGGGCAUUUGAGUAUGGCUCACGUGUAUUUAUUGGACAGAUCUGAGUGUAAGUUACGGUCGCAUGCGACACGUGCUUUUCAAUUAGUUCGGUCCAGUUAAUGCUCUCGUACUCGUUCCCCAUGUAAAAGCCGGUCAUCUAUCCGACCCGUCUUGAAACACGGACCAAGGAGUUUAUCGUGUGCGCAAGUUUUUGGGUGUUAAAAACUUAAAAGCGAAAUGAAAGUAAAUGACUCUUUAGAGUCUGAUGUGCGAUCUUGUAAAAAAGUGUAGCAUGGCCCCAUUCUAACUGUUUACAGUAGGGUGGCGGAAGAGCGUACGCGGUGAGACCCGAAAGAUGGUGAACUAUUCCUGAGCAGGACGAAGCCAGAGGAAACUCUGGUGGAAGUCCGAAGCGGUUCUGACGUGCAAAUCGAUCGUCUGA